AGAGUUUGAUCCUGGCUCAGGAUGAACGCUAGCGACAGGCUUAACACAUGCAAGUCGAGGGGCAGCGGAGCUGAAAGCUUGCUUUCAGCUGCCGGCGACCGGCGCACGGGUGAGUAACACGUAUGCAACCUGGCCGUGACAAAUGGAUAACCGGGAGAAAUUCCGCCUAAUACAGCAUAAUGCCUUGAAGGGACAUCUCUUUGAGGCCAAAGGAGGCGACUCCGGUCACGGAUGGGCAUGCGGCGCAUUAGGUAGUUGGUGAGGUAACGGCCCACCAAGCCGACGAUGCGUAGGGGUUCUGAGAGGAAGGUCCCCCACAUUGGAACCGAGACACGGUCCAAACUCCUACGGGAGGCAGCAGUGAGGAAUAUUGGUCAAUGGCCGGAAGGCUGAACCAGCCAAGUCGCGUGAGGGAAUAAGGCCCUAUGGGUCGUAAACCUCUUUUGCCGGGGAGCAAGGGAUUCCACGUGUGGGAUUCCGGAGAGUACCCGGAGAAAAAGCAUCGGCUAACUCCGUGCCAGCAGCCGCGGUAAUACGGAGGAUGCGAGCGUUAUCCGGAUUUAUUGGGUUUAAAGGGUGCGUAGGCGGCCGAUUAAGUCAGCGGUAAAAUUGCGGGGCUCAACCCCGUACCGCCGUUGAAACUGGUCGGCUUGAGUGAGCGAGAAGUAUGCGGAAUGCGUGGUGUAGCGGUGAAAUGCAUAGAUAUCACGCAGAACUCCGAUUGCGAAAGCAGCAUACCGGCGCUCAACUGACGCUGAAGCUCUAGAUCACGGGGAUCAAACAGGAUUAGAUACGCAGGUAGUCCGCACAGUACAAGAUGAAUGCUAGUUGUCCGGAGGGCAUGACCUCUGGGUGACACAGAGAAAGCGUUAAGCAUUUCACAUGGGGAGUACGCCGGCGACGGUGAAACUCGAAGGAAUUGACGGGGGUCUGCACAAACUGAGGAACAUGUGAUAUAAUUGGAUGAUACGUGAGGAACCUUACCCGGGUUCGAACGACACAGCAAUAAUUCUUGAAAGGAGGUAAGCCAGCAAUCGUUUGUGUCGAGGUGCUGCAUGCUUGUCGUCAGCUUGUGCUGUGAGGUGUCGGCUUAUGUGCCAUAACGAGUGCGACCCCUACCUGACAGUUACUCAAUGGUAUAGCAGAGGAGUCGGUCCGGGACUGUCAGCGCAUAGCCUGUGAGGAAGGCAGGGGAAGACGUCAAAUGAGCUCGGCCCCUUAGUCCUGGGGAGACACACCUGUUACGAUGGCAGGUACAGCGGGAAGCCAUGAGUCGAGUCAGAGCAGAAUCCGGAAACAGGUCUCAGACUUGGAAUUGAGUCUGCGACCCGGACUCCAUGAAGCUGGAUUCAGAGUAGUAAUCGCGCAUCACCCAUGGCUCGGAGAAUACGUUGCCCGGGCCUUGUACACAUCGCCAGUCA
RNAcentral lists this ribosomal RNA (1421 nucleotides) under uncultured bacterium. RNAcentral's name for it is "16S ribosomal RNA". It matches the Rfam family "Bacterial small subunit ribosomal RNA". The record is from RNAcentral.